This is an unclassified non-coding RNA of Theropithecus gelada (gelada), 293 nucleotides long. It matches the Rfam family "Metazoan signal recognition particle RNA". From Rfam's summary of the family: The signal recognition particle (SRP) is a universally conserved ribonucleoprotein. It is involved in the co-translational targeting of proteins to membranes. The record is from Ensembl. NCBI's taxonomy places the organism in Eukaryota, Metazoa, Chordata, Mammalia, Primates, Cercopithecidae.
GUCUUGUGGGCUGGCCUUUAGUCUCAGCUACUCAGGAGACUAAGGCAGGAGAAUUGCUUGAGCCCAGGAGUUCUGGGCUGUCAUGCACUAUGCCUGUUGGAUGUCUGCACUAAGUUUAGCAUCAAUAUGGUGACCUCCCGAGAGCAGGGAAUCACCAUGUUGCCUAAGGAGGGGUGAACUGGCCCAGGUCUGAAACGGAAUAGUUCAAAACCCCUGUGCUGAUCAGUAGUGACAUGGUGCCUGUGACUAGCCACUGUACUUCAGGCUGGGCAACAUAGCAAGACCUUGUCUCA